RNAcentral lists this ribosomal RNA (497 nucleotides) under uncultured bacterium. RNAcentral describes it as "partial 16S ribosomal RNA". It matches the Rfam family "Bacterial small subunit ribosomal RNA", at positions 28 to 507 of the family's 1533-position model. The record is from RNAcentral.
GACGAACGCUGGCGGCGUGCCUAAUACAUGCAAGUUGAGCGCUGAAGGUUGGUACUUGUACCAACUGGAUGAGCAGCGAACGGGUGAGUAACGCGUGGGGAAUCUGCCUUUGAGCGGGGGACAACAUUUGGAAACGAAUGCUAAUACCGCAUAAAAACUUUAAACACAAGUUUUAAGUUUGAAAGAUGCAAUUGCAUCACUCAAAGAUGAUCCCGCGUUGUAUUAGCUAGUUGGUGAGGUAAAGGCUCACCAAGGCGAUGAUACAUAGCCGACCUGAGAGGGUGGUCGGCCACAUUGGGACUGAGACACGGCCCAAACUACUACGGGAGGAAGCAGUAGGGAAUAUUCGGCAAUGGACGAAAGUCUGACCGAGCAACGCCGCGUGAGUGAAGAAGGUUUUCGGAUCGUAAAAAUCUGUUGGUAGAGAAGAACGUUGGUGAGAGUGGAAAGCUCAUCAAGUGACGGUAACUACACAGAAAGGGACGGCUAACUACGUG